RNAcentral lists this long non-coding RNA (313 nucleotides) under Elaeis guineensis (African oil palm). Its description in RNAcentral is "long non-coding RNA (EGUI_LNC080663)". Lineage: Eukaryota; Viridiplantae; Streptophyta; Magnoliopsida; Arecales; Arecaceae. The record is from RNAcentral.
CAAGGAAAGGGAGCUCCACUCCCGACCGACGACCAUGAUGGCCGGAGGAGAAGGCUGUGGCGGCGAUGGCAUGCCAAGUCCGGUGACCGACGAUGGCAACCAGCGAUCGAAAAAUCAAAAAUAAUAGAAAAAAUAGGGCAUCCAGAAAAUAAAAUUUUCAAGGGAUUUUAGGUAGAAAAACUCAAAAAAUUUUAAGAUUAAAACCAAGAAGGAUUGAGGGAAUAAGAGAGAAGAGAUUUACCUAAUUUAGAUGGGAUUUUGAGCUGAUUUUUUAUGGCCAAAUUAAAAAUAAACUUGCUGGAAAAAUAGGAAG